This is a non-coding RNA of Cyanistes caeruleus (blue tit), 150 nucleotides long. The record is from RefSeq and is a predicted model, not a curated record. NCBI's taxonomy places the organism in Eukaryota, Metazoa, Chordata, Aves, Passeriformes, Paridae.
GAAGAAGGAAUAUGCGUGCACAUGGCCACUUCCCAUAGGUUUUACCCCAGAUUUUCAUGAGCAGCUGUCCUAGUGAAAGUCAAGUCUGUUUUAGAAUUGCUUCGGUGUUACUUCACAUCAUCCAUUAAAAAUUUGAUGCCUGGAACAAGU